AUGGGGUCAAGCAGGGAGAGAGUGGACGUGAGCAGUGCUGACAGAGACCCUGCUUUGAGGGAAGCAGUUCAGGUCCGGGCAGGCCUUGACCACCUGACAGUUCCAGAACCUUCUUUUUGUUUCUUCAUGAGACUGGCUCCUUGUCUCCGCAGCUGAAUCAUGCUCCAUGGAUCUUCCCUUCCAGGACUCGCUGAUGAAACUGAGAGGUGUCUUCACCUUUCUCCUAAACGUGACAUGGGGUGAUGAGAACCCAUGGUUCCCGGGAGCACCUGUCUCUAUGAGCAACAGGCAUAGCGCAUCUGCAGGCAACGUUGUACCCGUCUGUCCGGAUCGCCACUGGAAAUCACACGCCAGAAGCUGAGCCUGGGCCGGUAGGCGGGUCGGGGUUCCUCAGCACAGAAUGACUCUUGCCGAGUGCACGGCCUGGAGCUCUCCCUCCUGAACCCGAGACCCGGCUGGGGACACCCAGACGGUCGUCUCAGGCUGGAGGAAACCCAGCGGGGCUCUGUUUUCUGAAUUCCUGGGGUCCCUUCACUUGUAAAAAAUGCCUUCACUGAGAUGUGGUUCCCACUCACACAAGUCACCUGGGGCAAGUACACAAUAAAGUGGUUUUGGUGUACUCGUGGGUGGUGCCAGCAUCGCUCCGGUGAGUUUCAGAACGUUGACGGUGAAGGGUAUCAUCGCCCCAUUCCCCCAGCCUCCGGCCACCGCUGAUCUGCUUUGUCUACAGGUUUCCCUGUUCUGGGCGUUUCACAUAAAUGGCGUCGUAUAGCA
Neofelis nebulosa (Clouded leopard) is the source of this 774-nucleotide long non-coding RNA. RefSeq lists it as uncharacterized. The transcript is spliced from 2 exons. Lineage: Eukaryota; Metazoa; Chordata; Mammalia; Carnivora; Felidae. The record is from RefSeq and is a predicted model, not a curated record.